AUACGGAGGGUGCAAGCGUUAAUCGGAAUAACUGGGCGUAAAGCGCACGUAGGUGGACAUUUAAGUCGGAUGUGAAAGCCCUAGGCUUAACCUAGGAACUGCAUCCGAAACUGGGCGUCUUGAGUAUAGUAGAGGGAAGUGGAAUUUCCGGUGUAGCGGUGAAAUGCGUAGAUAUCGGAAAGAACACCAGUGGCGAAGGCGGCUUCCUGGACUAAUACUGACACUGAGGUGCGAAAGCGUGGGGAGCAAACAGGAUUAGAAACCCUAGUAGUCC
RNAcentral lists this ribosomal RNA (274 nucleotides) under uncultured bacterium. Its description in RNAcentral is "partial 16S ribosomal RNA". It matches the Rfam family "Bacterial small subunit ribosomal RNA", at positions 523 to 796 of the family's 1533-position model. The record is from RNAcentral.